GAAGUGUUUGCAGGUAUUUAUUAGGAAGGGUUGUCCAUUUUUAAGGGAGGUUAUGCCGAUUUUUCGGUAAACUUUCCUUAGAGGUGGUCUCCGCAAGACUUACUUCGGGUUUUAGAAUGAAAUUCGGGGUGGGUCUUGACAGAUAACCUUUGAGUUAGCGAAGACCAAGGAGGCAAUAGAUCCUUGACUAGGGUUUUGAAUACCCAAAGAGGACAAGGAUGCUAGCAUAUUGGCUAUGCUAGGGUUUUUGCCAAUAGAUGGUGAUGGAUUGAUAGAAAACUUGCUUUUCGAUCCUGUCAAAGAGGGUGAGAGAUCAAGGUUUGGGUGCGAAGAGGCCAUGAGAAUGAUUGAAAAUAAGGAAAUUUGAAGUAAGACGGAGAUUUUUGGGUUUGGAGGUCGUGCUCUGGGAGAGAAAGAACGGCUUAGGGUUUAGGUGCAAGAGUUGGUCGGGUCACUGAACUUGAAAUAUAGUUGAAUGAUCCUUCCAUAGAUGUAUAGAUAAUAGCAUGUUUUUUUUUUUUUUCUAUAUUACUGGAUUUGCAACACUCCGGACCAAAUUUUACUUAUUUAUUGGGUAUUCUCUGAGUUACUAAAGAAGUUAGCAUUUAAGUUUAUUUUCGAGUUUUUCUUAAAAUGACAAAUUUCUCUGUUAAGGUCUCGAUGUCGUAGUUUGUGUUGACACGAGUUUACCGGUGUCUUGAAAUGACAAAUUCCUUUGUUAAGGUCUCGAUGUCGUAGUUUGUGUUGACACGAGUUCACCGGUGUCUUAAGAUUAUUUUUCGGAUCUUCGAGGUAUUUUCUACAAUUUGCCGAAGGUUUGUUAUUAGAAUUGAUUUUCUGAAAUUAGAGUAUAGCAUUUAAUCUUGACGGUCGGAACCUUAGGGUUUUGAUCUCAACCAUUGAUCCAAGUAUAAAAUGAUAAGAGGGGAUUGACUUUGUCAAAGCCUAAUUAUGGGCGUUGAACCGAGCUGCAGUCCAUCUCUUCCCUCUCUCGUCGUCUCCGACGACUCCACGGCGGAGCGGCGCCGUCCGGCCACAUCUCAUCACGAAACCACCACCAAAAUGAUCGCCUCUUCAUUCUAUUCCUAACCCAGCCCUCUUUUCGCACAUCCAUCCACUUACGAGGAAGAUCGAUGUCGAAGAGUCACGGCGGUGUUCCUCGUUUUCCGGCAAACACCGGCGGCGACGGCGAUAACGAAGAGUAGGGUUCUUCUCCUUCUUCCUUCUUCUUCAAUUUUGUGUCUUAAAUCCUUUGAAUCGUGCCCUAAUUUUGAAAAACCCCUCUUCUGUGUUUUUCUGGGUUUCGGGUUAUCUCCUCUGUCGACGUGUUCUCGGUCUUCCAGUGAGCUUCUCGAGCUCCGAUGAGUCCUGCAAACCUCGGGUGAAACUCAGACGCCUUUUGAUGGAGCUUUGGAGCUUCAUCGAUCGGGGUUCAAGGCGGAGGCUUAGGAGUUCUGCUGGGGUUGAGAUUCGGCAAGAAGGUGUUUCAGAAUGUAUUUAUGGACGAGAGGAAGUUCUUGGGUUCAAUGUUUGGCAGAUUGAAGGUGAGUGUUAAGUUGUGAAGCUUCUGUGUUGUUAUUGUUAUGUUGUGGUUGGUUGGUGUUUGAUUUAGCUCUUUGGUUGUUUGUCGAGAACUUGGUGAAUCGAAGAUUUCGGGGAGGUCAUGGCGAAAUUCCGGCAAGACGCCGGAAUCAGGCGAGUAUUUCCGGCAAGUCGCCGGAAUUUGGUAGGGAUUCCGGCGAGGUAGUAGUUCCGGCAGUAGAAGAUGAGGUAGUUUUUACGCGAUGGUACUAAUUUGUUCCAGAUGCAAUGGUAAUUAAUUACGUAGAAUCAUUCAGUCAUUGCUAUUUUGUUCCAGAUGAAGUGUUACACCUUAAAGGCUAUUGCUAUUGCUACUGGAGAUUAGAGAGGCCGAUAAUCACUUUGUAACGAUCAUCCAUCCACUAUGGAUUAAGCUACAAACAGGCGCGGAGCCAAGGCUUUGGUUGGUUGGGCCGAGUUUUCUGGAAUUAAAAAAAAAACCAUGUAUAUUAUGUUUUUUUUUUUUUUGUUACAUUAUUGUUCAAACAAGUCCAUGUGCCACCUAAACUGCCCGAUGCCUAUCUCUCUUCCUCUCUACGUGACUAAGCCUCUAUUUCUCAAUUCCUCUUCCACUUUUCCUUCUAGUUUUUCAGUCUUUUCCUCUUUGAAUCUCAUAAAAUCCUCAUUUUUCUUCCUAUAUUGGAUGUUAAAUUAUCAAUAUAAGUUAUUGCAUUUCAAUCUAUUCAAUUUGAGAAAAAUUUUGUUGGGUUUCUAGUUUGUCUAUGAUUUUUAGAGUUUCUCAAUACUUUCAUCAAUGCCUACUUUUUUACGAACACUUCAUUACAUACACCUGAGCUCAUACACUUUGCAUGGUUGUACUGGAAAAUUUUCUUUGGCCUUCGGCCAAAAUUAACGCCCACCUCAUGUUCAAAUCUUGGAUCCGCCAUUGGCUACAAAAAUCAAUUACCUUCAGCAAGAAACAACUAUCAAGUCCUUAUCUUUCAUAGAGUAUGGAACACCCAAAACCUAUGCCACAAUCCCUCCAAUCCCAAAUUCCAUUAUAGAAGAAAAAUUGAAAAAAUCCCAAUCCGAUCACAGCAGAAAUGAGAAGAGAUCCAAGAGGAGACCUGAGAGGCUAGGAGAUAUUUCAAGACCAUACUGUGCGAAGAGGAGAAGUGGAGAACAACGUCUGUGUGGUGCUAUGUGAAGUUUAAUAACUAACAUUUUCUUUUUUCUGAUAUGGUUAAUUGGUUGUAAUAUAUAUACCUCUACUUAAGGCUGGGUGUUAGGGUCUGAAAUCUUGAAAACCUGACCCGAGCCCAGCUCAACUUGAGGGUUUUUAACCUAAAAAUCUCUCUAGGCUUAAUUCCAUAUAGCCUACUGACCAUAUCCUCCCCUGGUCAUCCGCCAGGCUAAACUCAUAAAGAUGGUUGCGGUGGGCAGAGCCGGCGUUGGGCGGUCUGGCAUUCUCUUUUUUCUUUUUUCUGCCUACUGUAAAAUAUUAUUAUAUAUUUGAAGUCAUCGGUAUAUAUGUAUUACAUGUUUAGUUCAGUUGGUUAAGGUGAAGGUCUCAUGUUCGAUUCCCCCACUCAGAUCCUUUUCUGCUCUUUUUUUGUCGUGUAUUGUUUUUCUAUUAGGUUUAAAUCUAUACCUUUUUACCCUUUUUUUUUUGAAAUAAAUCAUUGAUAUAUUGAAACGCACGUCAGAAUGGCAAAGUACCAUUACACUUGUAAAUUCCUGCACGCUUAUUUGUGAGCCUAAAUAGAGAUUAAAAUCUUAGCAAUAAUGCAGAUACUAGAGCUAGUAGACUUACUAUCGCCUGAGCACUCAAUUAUGGUGAUUCAAGUACAUAUCAAUUAUCUUAUCGAUCUAAGAUCCUAUUUGUCUGUAAGCUUAAACCAUAAACAAUUUUAGGCCACUUCUAGUUUGAAAUCAGGCCCGAUGACUCGGGGUACCCUACCUGGUGGGAUUUUUGCCCCUAUUCGAUAUCUUUGAUAUCAAUAAAAACCUUCGGUGUCAUUUCCUAUUUUUAGUUUUUUCUUCUAUUUUGUUUUUUUUAUAUAAUUUUUUCGCACCAAACCCUUCAAAGCAUAGGACCGGCCCUGGCGGUGGGACCAAGAAUGAAAGAUUACGUUGGAAAUGUGAUCCCAAUGGCUUUGAAAGGUGGUCGAACAUCACUAACGAUCUAACGCAUGUAGGGUAUAUGAGUAAUUUAAUAAAAAGUAAAAAUUAAAAAUUAAACCAUGAAAAUAACAAUUAAUGAAAUUUUGAUUGUUAGAGUUCUAGUUUGAUUGUUGAGAGACGACUCUAGUUGCCCUGUGAUGGCCUUUGCUCAUAAGAUUGGGAAGUCAACCGUUCCCAUAUUAGAAGUUACUGCGCUUAAGGAUAGUCUUCUCACUGCUCUAGAGUUGGGGUUUUAGAAUAUUUUGGUUGAAGGUGACUCCUCGCUGGUUAUCAAUUGUGUUAUUAGAAAGUUCAAGUGCCCUUGGAGACCCAUUCAACUUAUCCAAGAUAUCAGAAGGUUAGCUAGUUCUUUUCAAAGCAUCUCUUUUCGGCAUGUCUUCCAAGAGGCUAACUUCGCGGCCAACGCGCUUGCUAAUUUUGGCCACCAGCUUUCAAGUCUUUGUCGUUGGGAGUCAGAAUUUCCUCUUGUUGUAAGGCAGGCCAUUAAUUUUGACCACUUUGGAGUCAGGUGCUCGCGAGGUUUUGUUUUGUAAUCAGUCUUUUAGCAUAAAAAAAAAUUAAUUAUUAGAAUUCUAAAUUCCAUCAUUUCAAAAUUUCUCAAGAAGUUUAAAAAGAAUCAUCUAAGCACAACGCUAGUGACCAGGUGAACACGACUGUAUUAAACGAUACCGGACAAUCAAUGUGGGCUAGUGCAUCAAAGGAAAAUUUUAUUUGAUUUGAUUAUAUUCAUUCAUUAAGACACAUUGAUUAUUUAUCCUUUUUUCUUUUGUAAAGAUAUUGAUUAUUUUUAAAUUCAAAGGAUAUUUAGGAAAACAAAUCCAGCCAUAUUUACUGUCAUAAUUGUUGUGAUAUAAAUACCGUUCAUACAAUAUUAAAUCAGCUUUAUAAAGAGAAAGAAUAUCAAAACACAUCCAACCAUAUUCAUUCUCAUAAUUAUUGUCAUAAUUGUCAACGUUCAUACAAGAUUGAAUUAACUAUAUAAAGAGAAGAGAUUCACCUUUGUUGAAUCAGUUUUCUCAUAACCUCAAGCCUUGAAAAUAUGAUGACUUUAAUAUUUCUAACAAAGCUCAUCAUGAUACUUGUGUGUCAAAUCGUGUUUCUUCCAAUGGGUCAAUGUAGCAUAGAUUUUUGGCCAAUGGAUGCUAAACUCAUUGACGAAACAUGUCAAAAAACACCAAACCCCAAUCUCUGUGUCUCAUCUCUCAAAUCAGAUCCUCGAAGUUCUGGUGCUGAUGUCAAAGGCUUGGGCAUAAUAAUGGUGGAUGUGGUUAAGGCCAAAGCAAUUAUCGGUCAAAACAAAGUAAGUGGAUUACUUAAGCAGAGCCCAGGAGAUCUACGCUUGAAAGUCGGUUCAGGUGACUACGAUGCGAUUUCAAACCAUCAGGUCCCAAAUGCUUCCUUGGCAUUUAGUAGAGAUAUCCCUCAUAUUGCUGAAGAAGACAUGAGUGAAGCUGCUGACGAGGCAAGGGCAUGCGAGUUAAGUUUUUCAGGGAGGUCUCCUCUAACAGAUGUAAAUAAUGCUGUGGCAGAUGUCGCGGCUAUUACUGCAGCUAUAGCAAACUAAUUAGGCGGUUGACAUAUAUCAUGUUGUUUCAUUGUCAACCAUAAACAAUUUGUAUUCGAAUAAGUUGACACUACAAAAAAACCCGCUAGUACCCACGUUUCCUAUUUGUGGGCUUUGACCCCUUUGCCCACGAAUCAUUGUGGCUGUUGACUUUAUCCACGAUGCAGCAACAUUUUUAGGGAAUGUGGCCUUUAAUGCCGUGGCUGUUGCUAAAUAUUAUCACGAUUAUUAUCACAAUUGCGCUGCAAUCGUGAGACUUCUUACAUGGACCCCACUUUGGGACCUACCACCACAAACUGUCAAAGGAGCUCACGAUUGUUUAUCAAUCGUGCCAAUAUCUAUAUUAUAUUCAUUCAAGUCACCCACGAUUGUUUUGGGUUUUGUGGCUUCAUUACAACUGAUUUAAAAAAAUAUAUAUAUAUUAUAGAUCGGAUACUGAAAGUGAACCUAUAUAAUUAACAGAAACCCAGUUGCUAUAUUAAAUCUCCCUGUCCACAAUUCAAGUAUCGUAAUUACAAUUUACAAACAGCUAAACAAAUAAAAACAAUCUACAUC
Molecule: long non-coding RNA, 5824 nt
Filed under: Fragaria vesca (wild strawberry)
Lineage: Eukaryota; Viridiplantae; Streptophyta; Magnoliopsida; Rosales; Rosaceae
Description: long non-coding RNA (FVES_LNC001922)
Source: RNAcentral